UACGUAGGGGGCAAGCGUUGUCCGGAAUCAUUGGGCGUAAAGCGCGUGUAGGCGGUUCGGUAAGUCCGCUGUGAAAUCCCUCGGCUUAACCGAGGAACUGCCCUCCAAACUGCUUCGCUUGAGACCGGGAGAGGUGAGUGGAAUUCCCAGUGUAGCGGUGAAAUGCGUAGAUAUUGGGAGGAACACCAGUGGCGAAGGCGGCUCACUGGACCGGUACUGACGCUGAAGCGCGAAAGCGUGGGGAGCGAUCCGG
This 253-nucleotide ribosomal RNA is filed under the name uncultured bacterium. RNAcentral's name for it is "partial 16S ribosomal RNA". It matches the Rfam family "Bacterial small subunit ribosomal RNA", at positions 524 to 776 of the family's 1533-position model. The record is from RNAcentral.